GACGAACGCUGGCGGCGUGCUUAACACAUGCAAGUCGAACGGAAAGGCCCUGCUUUUGUGGGGUGCUCGAGUGGCGAACGGGUGAGUAACACGUGAGUAACCUGCCCUUGACUUUGGGAUAACUUCAGGAAACUGGGGCUAAUACCGGAUAGGAGCUCCUGCUGCAUGGUGGGGGUUGGAAAGUUUCGGCGGUUGGGGAUGGACUCGCGGCUUAUCAGCUUGUUGGUGGGGUAGUGGCUUACCAAGGCCUUGACGGGUAGCCGGCCUGAGAGGGUGACCGGCAACAUUGGGACUGAGAUACGGCCCAGACUCCUACGGGAGGCAGCAGUGGGGAAUAUUGCACAAUGGGCGGAAGCCUGAUGCAGCAACGCCGCGUGCGGGAUGACGGCCUUCGGGUUGUAAACCGCUUUCGCCUGUGACGAAGCGUGAGUGACGGUAAUGGGUAAAGAAGCACCGGCUAACUACGUG
This 468-nucleotide ribosomal RNA is filed under the name uncultured bacterium. RNAcentral's name for it is "partial 16S ribosomal RNA". It matches the Rfam family "Bacterial small subunit ribosomal RNA", at positions 28 to 507 of the family's 1533-position model. The record is from RNAcentral.